GCCCGAUUGAUCUAGUCGGUUAUGAUGCAGACCUAAUACGCUCGCUGUUUAGUCUGAUGUCGGCGGUUCGAUCCCGCCAUUGGGCA
This is a non-coding RNA of Microbotryomycetes sp. JL201, 86 nucleotides long. The record is from the annotation of a GenBank genome assembly. Lineage: Eukaryota; Fungi; Basidiomycota; Microbotryomycetes.